AUUUUGGACAAUGGGCGAAAGCCUGAUCCAGCAAUGCCGCGCGAGUGAAGAAGGCCUUCGGGUUGUAAAGCUCUUUUGUCAGGGAAGAAACGGUGAGGGCUAAUAUUCCUUGCUAAUGACGGUCCCUGAAGAAUAAGCACCGGCUAACUAAGUGCCAGCAGCCGCGGUAAUACGUAGGGUGCAAGCGUUAAUCGGAAUUACGGGGCGUAAAGCGUGCGCAGGCGGUUUGGUAAGUCUGAUGUGAAAUCCCCGGGCUCAACCUGGGAAUUGCAUUGGAGACUGCAAGGCUAGAAUCUGGCAGAGGGGGGUAGAAUUCCACGUGUAGCAGUGAAGUGCGUAGAUAUGUGGAGGAACACCGAUGGCGAAGGCAGCCCCCUGGGUCAAGAUUGACGCUCAUGCACGAAAGCGUGGGGAGCAAACA
RNAcentral lists this ribosomal RNA (421 nucleotides) under uncultured bacterium. Its description in RNAcentral is "bacterial SSU rRNA". It matches the Rfam family "Bacterial small subunit ribosomal RNA", at positions 361 to 774 of the family's 1533-position model. The record is from RNAcentral.